UCUUGGACGCCAUCUUCUCCCCGCCUCCUACUACAGCUCCCAGCAGCCCCCGCGAAGGCACGCACAAUAAUGGCGAGCGCGCUGCUGCCCCGUGGGCAGGUGGUGGUUAACCACAGGGGGUUGGACUACUCUCAGUUUACACCAGAGUAACUCCAACUGACCUCUGAAGCACAAUAUUUAAAUGCCGUUCCAGGAAAGCUGAUAAUUUAUCCAUGAAAUGCCUUGAAUCAGUCUCUCCAGCUCCAGCACGGCAGUAGCCAGCGCUGAGGAGAAGUGAGCCAACACAAAGUCAGCAGCCUGCCCGACUUGCACAGAGGUGAUGCUUCCAGAUGGCCACCCAGAAGAGGCUCUUUGAGAAAGAAGGUGCACUGUGCCUGACAGGAGAAGCAAAUUAUUUCUGGAAACAGAAAAACACUCUGACAAUUGCAGUAUCAGGAAGCAUAUCUUUGAAAGAGCAAUGCACAGAGACGGUCAAGAUCACAAAGGACUUGUAGGAAGUAAUUAUAAAAUACUAGUGCCACAUUGAAAGACAUGUUGGAAUGAAUUCCCUACCAUACUGGAGGAACACUAGUUAUAGUCAUAAAAAUAUAAACCAGUCUGUGUUUUAUGUCUGGUUUUGUUUCUUCCUUUGAACUGAGUCUUCUUACACCAUAUGGCAGCUACUGAAUUUUAAAAAUAUUUCCCCAAAGACAAGAACUCAUAAAGGUCCUUCAUUCUGUGAAAAUUGUAGAAGUCAAGCAUGGUUUUAUACUAAUAGUACUACCAAUUUUGCAUUUAAUUUAUAAACCAAUUAAUAGUUGUAUGCUGUUAAUGUGGUUUUCAAAAAUAAAAAUGAAAGUAAAAACAACCAGCAAAGGUGCCACUUCAAAUGAGCUUAGUUUAUAAUUACUUCUGAAGUAGUAACUCUGCAUAUCAGUUCAGAAAAGCUUUUACAGGAGCGAAUAAAUAGAUUCCCUAGUUGCUCUUUACUCCUCUGCAAACAUGUAUUUCUAUUG
This is a long non-coding RNA of Neopelma chrysocephalum (saffron-crested tyrant-manakin), 995 nucleotides long. RefSeq lists it as uncharacterized. The record is from RefSeq and is a predicted model, not a curated record. The transcript has 3 exons. NCBI's taxonomy places the organism in Eukaryota, Metazoa, Chordata, Aves, Passeriformes, Pipridae.